UAAGCAUAUAAGUAAGUGUUGGAAAUUGAACCAAAUGGGAUUCCUUAAGUAAUUGCGAAUGAACAAGGACAUGCUUAGCUUGACAAUUGGAGCCUCUGGCUUCGACUUGUAUUUUUGAAAUGUAUUACCAACAGAGGUGCAGGUGUCAGCCUAUUGAAAGAAAGCGUCAAUGAGGGUGAGAAUCCUGUUUGUCAUGUGCAAUCCUCUGUGCACGGUGUAUGUUUGCUGAGUCACACUCCUUGGCAUUGGAAUGCAAAGUGGGUGGUAAGUUUCAUGUAAAGGUAAAUAUAGGAUUGAGACUGAUAGCACACAAGUACCAUGAGGGAAAUAUGAAAAGGACUUUGAAAAGAGAAUUAAAUGAGUUUGUAUUUGCUGAACAGAAAAUAAACAGAUUUGAUGUUGCUUGGUGAGAUUGUGGUGCUUGCUUGACAAUAGGUUUUGAUUGUGGGUGCGAUGAUUCUUGCUUUGCUUGCCAGUUUCUAUUUGUACAUUUGAUUACCCUUGCACAUGAAUGGUAAUUUUCCUGCGGGGUUUGGAUUGCAUGUGUUUGUGAUGAUUUGUGUUUUGAUGCAUGUGUCUGGUGCUUUUGUAAUUGCUCAUUUCUUGAAGCUGGGCCUACCCUACUAGAGCUUACAAGUCU
RNAcentral lists this ribosomal RNA (640 nucleotides) under Alexandrium tamarense. RNAcentral describes it as "LSU rRNA". It matches the Rfam family "Eukaryotic large subunit ribosomal RNA", at positions 35 to 641 of the family's 3401-position model. The record is from RNAcentral. Lineage: Eukaryota; Dinophyceae; Gonyaulacales; Pyrocystaceae.